Molecule: long non-coding RNA, 301 nt
Filed under: Brassica rapa (field mustard)
Lineage: Eukaryota; Viridiplantae; Streptophyta; Magnoliopsida; Brassicales; Brassicaceae
Description: long non-coding RNA (BRAP_LNC003889)
Source: RNAcentral
UUCCAAUGUUCCCGGUCACAAGUCGCCGCCACUUCACAUCCUCCCUAUAUAUGCUCCGUUCAUCUUCUCCACACAACCAUCUCCUCUACUCUUCCUCCUCCUCAUCUUUCCUCCCUUCCUUCAUCUCCUCCAAAUCCAAAUCCUCCUCUUCAACCAACAAACACAACCAACAACCUCCUCCUCCAAUGGCCGCGUGCAUCGACACGUGCCGAACCGGUAAACCACAGAUCUCACGUGACUCAAACCGGUCCCACGACGACGAAUCCGGUUUCCGUUACUCCAAUUACUACCGAUCCGGUUA